CUUGAGUGUGCAAUCACAUAAAUAGUCUGGAGAUUUUGGAGAGGGAUGGAAUAUUUGAAUCAAUGUUUCCAGAAAAUUAAAGGGAUAAAUGGAUGUUACACUGCAUGUUGUGCUCUCAGCAGAUUAAGCAUCUCAACAGUUUUGACCUGAAGAAACAAUGAUCAUCUCUCCUUGGGAGGGAGGAUGGAGUGACAAAAUCUGGAGGCACUGUAUCUCUUCGUUGUCAAAGCAAGCUAUGAAGUCUUGUGCCUUCCAGCCAAAACCACUGGGAGUAAGCAGUGUCCUUCACAGAAAGCAAAAUCUGUAAGAGAAGGUGGUGGUGAGGAACAGCAACCUUCUUGCCCAGGGGAUGUGUGCUGCCCUGCAUCUUGGGUCUCCUGUGUCUCCUGGAAUUGAUGCAACUUCUUUUCUCACCUCUGUCAGCAACCACAGCAAUGAAGUAGGCAGAGACUUUCUAAGGUCUGGCUCCUUAUAUACUGUGACUUAAAUUCUGCUGAAGGAGUCUCACCAAGGCAUCUCACAAGGUUAUUUUGGGAGCUGCAUCUCGCUCUUGAUAGGCUUCACUGCCAACCAGGUGGUUUGUACUUCUUGGGAUCUCUAUCCUUGUUUGUUUUUGCUGGAAGUCUUCAGCUGUGAGCUGCACGGGGAAUGAGCUGAAGUGAGAGGAUCAUUUUAAAUACAAUAAAACUGUUUUCAUCAUUCA
Neopsephotus bourkii (Bourke's parrot) is the source of this 703-nucleotide long non-coding RNA. RefSeq lists it as uncharacterized. Lineage: Eukaryota; Metazoa; Chordata; Aves; Psittaciformes; Psittacidae. The record is from RefSeq and is a predicted model, not a curated record. The transcript is spliced from 2 exons.